GGUUAUGGCUCAGCAGUAGAGCGCUUGCCUGGCAUAUAGGAGGCCCUGGGUUCGAUCCUCAGCACCA
This 67-nucleotide transfer RNA is filed under the name Marmota monax (woodchuck). RNAcentral describes it as "tRNA.Ala". The record is from RNAcentral. Lineage: Eukaryota; Metazoa; Chordata; Mammalia; Rodentia; Sciuridae.